AUUUACGUAUUUUUAUUGUGACUCAUCACCACCUGAGUAAACUAUAUUUCACUGAAUUUCGACUGUUCUCUAUACAGCGUAGCCUGCUGAUGAUAAGGUCAGGCUGUUAUAGGACUUACAAGUUAGAUCAGUUCCUUCUUUUGACUAUGAAUUUGUUUGCUGUUUUGCUUUCUGUUUGCAGCCAAAAUGACCGCCUUUCUUUGCAAUUGCUAUUCUGAAUAAAAGCUUUGACAUUUCCCAUAUUCUCUCCUUCUCUCUCCCAGUUCAAGUUGAUGAAGGAAGAGAGCAAGAACUCUACUAUUAUACUUCUUUUCUAAUGUAGCUGCAUGAAACUUGAUUCAGUAACUCCUUGGAGCUUGAUACCAAUGACAAAUAAGCUCAUCUGAAGCUCAUUAUCAAUACCAGUUUCCACCUGGUCUGGAUAACUAAAGAUUCCUGAAAUUGCAGACCUACUCAUAGCAUCUUCUACCCUAAAUAUCCUGAAUGGGUUAAUAAUUGUCUUGCUAAAAUACUGAGAGGAGCAGAACUGAUGAAGACUCAAAUACUUGGAUUCUGUGCUAUUGAAUCAGGCUGAAGCGAUGCCAAGAGGAAACAUCAAGACAUCAAAAUAAAUGCUGUAUGCGUUCUUAAAAUACAAGAAAUCAAGUGAGAUUUUGGAGCCAUAAAAUUAGAAGGGUUAAGGUUUGGAAGGGCACUGCCCAGAGCAUCAGCUGCUGUGCGCUGAGAGGAAGCAUGAGGACCCUGUGGGUGCCCAAAGAGGCUUUUGUGUCCAGAUCUGUGUUAAAGAUAAAUGAAAUCUUCUACAGUGAAGAACUGCAAGAGUUAGACAAGUUCUGUGAACUUUACCUUUGCAGUAGAUAAGAAAUAUAACUCGCAAUAUCCAAGUCUUCAUCAUUCAUCUGAAAAUCCCUAGGUGCUGUGAAUUUAAUUUUUCUCAAUCUCUUCUUUAUUGUUUCAUUUCCAAGACAAAUUUGAGGUUUUAAAGAACUUUAAAUAAGUAUGUGCUGCAUCUCUUUCUCUUUUUUUCUUGUUUGUUAUGUAAAUUCUUAAUUGCACUGCAGUUUGAACCAGCUCCAGGUGUUAUUUAAGAGGGAGAAGAUUUUGUAGAAUAAUUGUAAUAUGAUGCAGCUGAAUUGAAACAAAU
This is a long non-coding RNA of Phasianus colchicus (ring-necked pheasant), 1144 nucleotides long. The record is from Ensembl. Lineage: Eukaryota; Metazoa; Chordata; Aves; Galliformes; Phasianidae.